UUUUUAUUAGCUCAUGAUAGGCUUUGGAGAGCACACGGCUGAAGACCGUGGUGUCGCGGGUUCAAACCCCGCCAGCCUCA
Molecule: transfer RNA, 80 nt
Filed under: Candidatus Diapherotrites archaeon CG10_big_fil_rev_8_21_14_0_10_31_34
Lineage: Archaea; Nanobdellati; Candidatus Iainarchaeota
Description: tRNA-Phe
Rfam family: tRNA (bases 8-72)
About the family: Transfer RNA (tRNA) molecules are approximately 80 nucleotides in length. Their secondary structure includes four short double-helical elements and three loops (D, anti-codon, and T loops).
Source: RNAcentral